UCCCCUAUAGCUCAGUUGGUUAGAGCGUCUGACUGUUAAUCAGGAGGUCGAUAGUUCGAACCUAUCUGGGGGAG
The sequence is a transfer RNA, 74 nucleotides long. It matches the Rfam family "tRNA". Rfam says of the family: Transfer RNA (tRNA) molecules are approximately 80 nucleotides in length. Their secondary structure includes four short double-helical elements and three loops (D, anti-codon, and T loops). The record is from Rfam.